This 57-nucleotide transfer RNA is filed under the name Deltaproteobacteria bacterium GWA2_65_63. RNAcentral's name for it is "tRNA-Arg". It matches the Rfam family "tRNA", at positions 8 to 61 of the family's 71-position model. From Rfam's summary of the family: Transfer RNA (tRNA) molecules are approximately 80 nucleotides in length. Their secondary structure includes four short double-helical elements and three loops (D, anti-codon, and T loops). The record is from RNAcentral. Lineage: Bacteria; Deltaproteobacteria. RNAcentral also lists the same sequence under 2 other names.
UAGCUCAGCUGGAUAGAGCACUUGACUACGAAUCAAGUGGCCAGAGGUUCGAAUCCU